UGGGCUGUGCGCUGCUGUUUGGGUGUGUUACUGAAGUCCAUUCAAGUGCAUCGGUUCAAA
RNAcentral lists this microRNA precursor (60 nucleotides) under Callorhinchus milii (elephant shark). RNAcentral's name for it is "Cmi-Novel-11_pre stem-loop". The record is from RNAcentral. Lineage: Eukaryota; Metazoa; Chordata; Chondrichthyes; Chimaeriformes; Callorhinchidae.